UACAGAGGGUGCGAGCGUUGUCCGGAAUCACUGGGCGUAAAGGGCGCGUAGGUGGCGGCCCAAGUCCAUGGUGAAAGCUCGAUGCUCAACAUCGAGUCGGCCACGGAUACUGGGUUGCUGGAGCACUGUAGAGGCAGAUGGAAUUCCGGGUGUAGCGGUGGAAUGCGUAGAGAUCCGGAAGAACACCGGUGGCGAAGGCGGUCUGCUGGGCAGUAGCUGACACUGAUGCGCGACAGCGUGGGGAGCAAACAGG
This 253-nucleotide ribosomal RNA is filed under the name uncultured bacterium. RNAcentral's name for it is "partial 16S ribosomal RNA". It matches the Rfam family "Bacterial small subunit ribosomal RNA", at positions 524 to 776 of the family's 1533-position model. The record is from RNAcentral.